Molecule: ribosomal RNA, 538 nt
Filed under: uncultured bacterium
Lineage: Bacteria
Description: partial 16S ribosomal RNA
Rfam family: Bacterial small subunit ribosomal RNA
Source: RNAcentral
GAUGAACGCUGGCGGUGUGCCUAAUACAUGCAAGUCGUACGUAUUCUCGUUUCUGAUUGACGGUGCUUGCACCUAAUUGACGAGACAUUGGAAUGAGUGGCGGACGGGUGAGUAACACGUGGGUAACCUGCCCCAAAGCGGGGGAUAACAUUUGGAAACAGAUGCUAAUACCGCAUAAUCACAGAAACCACAUGGUUUCUGUGUCAAAGAUGGUUUCGGCUAUCACUUUGGGAUGGACCCGCGGCGUAUUAGCUAGUUGGUAAGGUAAUGGCUUACCAAGGCAAUGAUACGUAGCCGAACUGAGAGGUUGAUCGGCCACAUUGGGACUGAGACACGGCCCAAACUCCUACGGGAGGCAGCAGUAGGGAAUCUUCCACAAUGGACGAAAGUCUGAUGGAGCAACGCCGCGUGAGUGAAGAAGGUUUUCGGAUCGUAAAACUCUGUUGUCAGAGAAGAACGUGUGCGAGAGUAACUGUUCGUGCAGUGACGGUAUCUGGCCAGAAAGCCACGGCUAACUACGUGCCAGCAGCCGCCGUAA